Molecule: non-coding RNA, 226 nt
Organism: Pelobates cultripes (western spadefoot toad)
Lineage: Eukaryota; Metazoa; Chordata; Amphibia; Anura; Pelobatidae
Source: the annotation of a GenBank genome assembly
CCUCACUGCCUCUUACCUGUAGACAGGGAGGGGGGACACUAGGUUCCCAGGUGGUCCAGUUGGAGGCACAGCAGUUGGUUCAGUCUUCUUCUUUACCCUCAGGGCUCUACUUCUGUCACGAGCCCGGCAUGCUUUGCGUGCCGAGGAGCGUUGCCGUGGAAACCCGAACCACCGCUUUACAGCCGCUCGCGAGAGUGCCGGAGCAGGAGGUGAGUGUGAAACCAGC